GAUGAACGCUGGCGGCGUGCCUAAUACAUGCCAGUCGAGCGAACAGAUGAGGAGCUUGCUCCUCUGACGUUAGCGGCGGACGGGUGAGUAACACGUGGAUAACCUACCUAUAAGACUGGGAUAACUUCGGGAAACCGGAGCUAAUACCGGAUAAUAUAUUGAACCGCAUGGUUCAAUAGUGAAAGACGGUUUUGCUGUCACUUAUAGAUGGAUCCGCGCCGCCUUAGCUAGUUGGUAAGGUAACGGCUUACCAAGGCAACGAUGCGUAGCCGACCUGAGAGGGUGAUCGGCCACACUGGAACUGAGACACGGUCCAGACUCCUACGGGAGGCAGCAGUAGGGAAUCUUCCGCAAUGGGCGAAAGCCUGACGGAGCAACGCAGCGUGAGUGAUGAAGGUCUUCGGAUCGUAAAACUCUGUUAUUAGGGAAGAACAAAUGUGUAAGUAACUAUGCACGUCUUGACGGUACCUAAUCAGAAAGCCACGGCUAACUACGUG
Molecule: ribosomal RNA, 497 nt
Filed under: uncultured bacterium
Lineage: Bacteria
Description: partial 16S ribosomal RNA
Rfam family: Bacterial small subunit ribosomal RNA
Source: RNAcentral